RNAcentral lists this ribosomal RNA (583 nucleotides) under Alternaria alternata. RNAcentral describes it as "eukaryotic LSU rRNA". The stretch from base 168 to 321 matches the Rfam family "5.8S ribosomal RNA". The record is from RNAcentral. Lineage: Eukaryota; Fungi; Ascomycota; Dothideomycetes; Pleosporales; Pleosporaceae.
GUGGCAUACGUAUGAUGCGGGCUGGACCUCUCGGGGUUACAGCCUUGCUGAAUUAUUCACCCUUGUCUUUUGCGUACUUCUUGUUUCCUUGGUGGGUUCGCCCACCACUAGGACAAACAUAAACCUUUUGUAAUUGCAAUCAGCGUCAGUAACAAAUUAAUAAUUACAACUUUCAACAACGGAUCUCUUGGUUCUGGCAUCGAUGAAGAACGCAGCGAAAUGCGAUAAGUAGUGUGAAUUGCAGAAUUCAGUGAAUCAUCGAAUCUUUGAACGCACAUUGCGCCCUUUGGUAUUCCAAAGGGCAUGCCUGUUCGAGCGUCAUUUGUACCCUCAAGCUUUGCUUGGUGUUGGGCGUCUUGUCUCUAGCUUUGCUGGAGACUCGCCUUAAAGUAAUUGGCAGCCGGCCUACUGGUUUCGGAGCGCAGCACAAGUCGCACUCUCUAUCAGCAAAGGUCUAGCAUCCAUUAAGCCUUUUUUUCAACUUUUGACCUCGGAUCAGGUAGGGAUACCCGCUGAACUUAAGCAUAUCAUGAGGCGGGAGAGGAAGAUUAAAUACCCUUUAUGAAGGCGGGCUGGAACCUCU